RNAcentral lists this ribosomal RNA (393 nucleotides) under uncultured bacterium. Its description in RNAcentral is "partial 16S ribosomal RNA". It matches the Rfam family "Bacterial small subunit ribosomal RNA", at positions 523 to 918 of the family's 1533-position model. The record is from RNAcentral.
AUACGGAAGGUCCGGGCGUUAUCCGGAUUUAUUGGGUUUAAAGGGAGCGCAGACGGCCUGUUAAGCGUGCAGUGAAAUGCGGGUGCUCAACAUCUGCACUGCUGCGUGAACUGGCGGGCUUGAGUUUGCUGGAGGUGCGCGGGAUUCGUGGUGUAGCGGGGAAAUGCUUAGAUAUCACGAAGAACCCCGAUUGCGAAGGCAGCGCACCGUGGACAUACUGACGUUGAGGCUCGAAGGUGCGGGUAUCGAACAGGAUUAGAUACCCUGGUAGUCCGCACGGUAAACGAUGGAUGCCCGCUGUAUGCGAUACAAUGUAUGCGGCCAAGCGAAAGCGUUAAGCAUCCCACCUGGGGAGUACGCCGGCAACGGUGAAACUCAAAGGAAUUGACGGGG